RNAcentral lists this ribosomal RNA (424 nucleotides) under uncultured bacterium. RNAcentral's name for it is "bacterial SSU rRNA". It matches the Rfam family "Bacterial small subunit ribosomal RNA", at positions 355 to 776 of the family's 1533-position model. The record is from RNAcentral.
UAAGGAAUAUUGGACAAUGGCCGCAAGGCUGAUCCAGCCAUGCCGCGUGCAGGAAGACGGACCUAUGGUUUGUAAACUGCUUUUGAACGGGAGAAAACCCCCCUACGUGUAGGGGGCUGAUAGUACCGUUAGAAUAAGCAUCGGCUAACUUCGUGCCAGCAGCCGCGGUAAGACGAAGGAUGCAAGCGUUAUCCGGAUUCAUUGGGUUUAAAGGGAGCGUAGGCGGACUUGUAAGUCAGUGGUGAAAUCUGUGGGCUUAACCCACAAACUGCCAUUGAUACUGCAGGUCUAGAGUACAGUUGCCGUUGGCGGAAUAUGACAUGUAGUGGUGAAAUACUUAGAUAUGUCAUAGAACACCGAUUGCGAAGGCAGCUAACGAAGCUGUAACUGACGCUGAGGCUCGAAAGUGCGGGGAUCAAACAGG